GUUUUUUUGAAACAAACCUACUUCCUCAAAAACAGCACGUCACACAGCGGGUUCAGACUUUACAGACCGUGGGAAACGUUUUGAUUCCCGGACGAGGACAGAGACUUCUUCCUACGUCGGUCGUCCCGCAGCAGCCAGCGGGAGAAGGGGGAAGUUUGGCUGUCUACAGGAGAACUGUGAUCAGCAGAGACUUCAACACGUAGGCAUCAUCAUCAUCAUCAUUGAUAUUACUGGACAACAUCUGUUUAGUCUUGAGAUGUUUAAAGUGAAAAACAAAUAUUUAUGUGGAAUAUUUGCAAUGUUUGAUUUGAAACAAAUCCAAAAAAUGAUCAAAUAAAUCUUCAGAUCAGAUUA
Molecule: long non-coding RNA, 354 nt
Organism: Acanthopagrus latus (yellowfin seabream)
Lineage: Eukaryota; Metazoa; Chordata; Actinopteri; Spariformes; Sparidae
Exons: 2
Source: RefSeq, a predicted model, not a curated record